RNAcentral lists this transfer RNA (72 nucleotides) under Aedes aegypti (yellow fever mosquito). It matches the Rfam family "tRNA". Rfam says of the family: Transfer RNA (tRNA) molecules are approximately 80 nucleotides in length. Their secondary structure includes four short double-helical elements and three loops (D, anti-codon, and T loops). Further hydrogen bonds mediate the characteristic L-shaped molecular structure. tRNAs have two regions of fundamental functional importance: the anti-codon, which is responsible for specific mRNA codon recognition, and the 3' end, to which the tRNAs corresponding amino acid is attached (by aminoacyl-tRNA synthetases). tRNAs cope with the degeneracy of the genetic code in two manners: having more than one tRNA (with a specific anti-codon) for a particular amino acid; and 'wobble' base-pairing, i.e. permitting non-standard base-pairing at the 3rd anti-codon position. Lineage: Eukaryota; Metazoa; Arthropoda; Insecta; Diptera; Culicidae. The record is from Rfam by way of RNAcentral.
GGCUCGGUAGCUUAGUUGGUAAAGCGCUCGUCUAGCAUACAAGAGUCCUGGGUUCGAAUCCCAGCCAGGUAA